UCCAAGACUAAAUUUAAGCCACCAUUUCAGCCCACAAAAUUCCUUUAAAUUCAGCCAAGGCUCAAUCAACCCACCCACCAUUUAACCCAAUUUACUACCCAAACUAAAACCUAAAAAAUAAGCCCAAAAAUACCCUAAUCGUCCACUCUUUCCAAAACACAAAAAUUUUUUAACCCAAAUUUACACCCCAACCGUCCACCCUCACCAAAUCAAAGCCAAAAAAGAAAAAAAACCUAACCUUUCACCCAUCAAAUCCUAAGCUUUCACCUAUCACAUCCUAGCCAUCUUUU
RNAcentral lists this long non-coding RNA (290 nucleotides) under Gossypium barbadense (sea-island cotton). Its description in RNAcentral is "long non-coding RNA (GBAR_LNC020769)". Lineage: Eukaryota; Viridiplantae; Streptophyta; Magnoliopsida; Malvales; Malvaceae. The record is from RNAcentral.